Molecule: ribosomal RNA, 514 nt
Filed under: uncultured beta proteobacterium
Lineage: Bacteria; Pseudomonadati; Pseudomonadota; Betaproteobacteria
Description: bacterial SSU rRNA
Rfam family: Bacterial small subunit ribosomal RNA
Source: RNAcentral
UGAAAGCGGGGGACCGUAAGGCCUCGCGCUAUUGGAGCGGCCGAUGUCUGAUUAGCUAGUUGGCGGGGUAAAAGCUCACCAAGGCGAUGAUCAGUAGCUGGUCUGAGAGGACGAUCAGCCACACUGGGACUGAGACACGGCCCAGACUCCUACGGGAGGCAGCAGUGGGGAAUUUUGGACAAUGGGGGCAACCCUGAUCCAGCAAUGCCGCGUGUGCGAAGAAGGCCUUCGGGUUGUAAAGCACUUUUGUCAGGGAAGAAAUCUUUCGGGCUAAUACCCCUGGAAGGAUGACGGUACCUGAAGAAUAAGCACCGGCUAACUACGUGCCAGCAGCCGCGGUAAUACGUAGGGUGCAAGCGUUAAUCGGAAUUACUGGGCGUAAAGCGUGCGCAGGCGGUUUGCUAAGACAGUUGUGAAAUCCCCGGGCUUAACCUGGGAACUGCGAUUGUGACUGGCAGGCUAGAGUACGGCAGAGGGGGGUGGAAUUCCUGGUGUAGCAGUGAAAUGCGUAGAG